This 594-nucleotide ribosomal RNA is filed under the name uncultured bacterium. RNAcentral's name for it is "bacterial SSU rRNA". It matches the Rfam family "Bacterial small subunit ribosomal RNA", at positions 338 to 916 of the family's 1533-position model. The record is from RNAcentral.
CCUACGGGAGGCAGCAGUGGGGGAAUCUUGCGCAAUGGGGGAAAACCCUGACGCAGCAACGCCGCGUGGGUGAUGAAGGCCUUCGGGUCGUAAAGCCCUGUCAGGUGGGAAGAAACUUGUGGAUGUUAAUACCAUCCGCACUUGACGGUACCACCGGAGGAAGCACCGGCUAACUCCGUGCCAGCAGCCGCGGUAAUACGGAGGGUGCAAGCGUUGUUCGGAAUCACUGGGCGUAAAGCGUGCGCAGGCGGUUUCGUAAGACAGAUGUGAAAUCCCCGGGCUUAACCUGGGAACUGCAUUUGUGACUGCGAGGCUAGAGUACGGCAGAGGGGGGUAGAAUUCCACGUGUAGCAGUGAAAUGCGUAGAUAUGUGGAGGAAUACCGAUGGCGAAGGCAGCCCCCUGGGUCGAUACUGACGCUCAUGCACGAAAGCGUGGGGAGCAAACAGGAUUAGAUACCCUGGUAGUCCACGCUGUAAACGAUGAGCACUAGGUGUCGCGGGGUAUUGACCCCUGCGGUGCCGCCGCUAACGCAUUAAGUGCUCCGCCUGGGGACUACGGCCCGCAAGGUUAAAACUCAAAGGGAAUUUGACGG